GAUGAAGAACGCAGCGAAAUGCGAUAAGUAAUGUGAAUUGCAGAAUUCAGUGAAUCAUCGAAUCUUUGAACGCACAUUGCGCCCCCUGGUAUUCCGGGGGGCAUGCCUGUCCGAGCGUCAUUACAACCCUCAAGCUCAGCUUGGUGUUGGGCCCCGCCGCCCCGGCGGGCCCUAAAGUCAGUGGCGGUGCCGUCCGGCUCCGAGCGUAGUAAUUCUUCUCGCUCUGGAGGUCCGGUCGUGUGCUCGCCAGCAAACCCCAAUUUUUUUCAGGUUGACCUCGGAUCAGGUAGGGAUACCCGCUGAACUUAAGCAUAUCAAUAAGCGGAGGA
RNAcentral lists this unclassified non-coding RNA (329 nucleotides) under soil metagenome. RNAcentral's name for it is "partial contains 5.8S ribosomal RNA, internal transcribed spacer 2, and large subunit ribosomal RNA". The stretch from base 1 to 120 matches the Rfam family "5.8S ribosomal RNA", at positions 35 to 154 of the family's 154-position model. The record is from RNAcentral.